GCAUAACGCGAAGAACCUUACCCACCUUUGACAUGUACGGAAUCCUUUAGAGAUAGAGGAGUGCUCGAAAGAGAGCCGUAACACAGGUGCUGCAUGGCUGUCGUCAGCUCGUGUCGUGAGAUGGUUAGGGUUAACGUCCCGACAACGAGCGACCUAACCCUUCGCCUAUUUAGUUGCUACUAUUUAGUUGAGCACUACUAAUGGGACUGCCGGUGAACAAACCGGAGGAAGGGUGGGGAUGACGUCAAGUCCUCAUGGCCCUUAUAGGGUGGGGCUACACACGUCAUACAAUGGCUGGUAACAAAGGGUUGCCAACCCGCGAGGGGGAGCUAACUCCCAUAAACGCCAGUGUACGUCCGAGUCGCAGUCUGCAACUCGACUGCGUGAAGUACGGAAUCGCUAGUAAUCGUGGAUCAGAAUGUCACGGUGAAUAC
Molecule: ribosomal RNA, 434 nt
Filed under: uncultured bacterium
Lineage: Bacteria
Description: bacterial SSU rRNA
Rfam family: Bacterial small subunit ribosomal RNA
Source: RNAcentral